Long non-coding RNA from Carassius gibelio (silver crucian carp), 407 nucleotides. RefSeq lists it as uncharacterized. Lineage: Eukaryota; Metazoa; Chordata; Actinopteri; Cypriniformes; Cyprinidae. The transcript is spliced from 2 exons. The record is from RefSeq and is a predicted model, not a curated record.
ACCUGAGGAGAAAAUAAUAUUGCAUCAUAAUGAAAGGAUAUGUAACGUACACUUUUCUGUAAACUAAGCCAAACAUUUUUUCACUGAUUUAGGGUAGAGUAAGAAUAUUUACUGUAUUGCGCAAGUUAGUUCAUACUUAGAUAUAAUUUUAUAUGCAAUAUUACCUUUUCUUUUCAUCAUCAUCUUUAAGAGUUCUGUUCAACUUUAUUUCUUAGUUGAUAAAUCCAUCCACAAUUCAUAAAACACAACACAUGCAACUGAGGUACAAGAAGUAUUGACAUCCAGAACUCAUUGAAAUCAUUUAAAAAUCAAAUCGACAGGUUAAAAAAAAGCCUCAGGUCAAAUAUUCAUUUAUCACCAAUUAACUGUUUGACAAAAACUUCCUGCUCCGAUGUCCAGAUCUGAAU